RNAcentral lists this ribosomal RNA (301 nucleotides) under uncultured bacterium. RNAcentral describes it as "partial 16S ribosomal RNA". It matches the Rfam family "Bacterial small subunit ribosomal RNA", at positions 509 to 807 of the family's 1533-position model. The record is from RNAcentral.
CAGCCGCCGCGGGAAUACGUAGGGUGCAAGCGUUAAUCGGAAUUACCGGGCGUAAAGCGUGCGCAGGCGGUCCGCUAAGACAGAUGCGAAAUCCCCGGGCUUAACCUGGGAACUGCAUUUGUGACUGGCGGGCUAGAGUAUGGCAGAGGGGGGUAGAAUUCCACGUGUAGCAGUGAAAUGCGUAGAGAUGUGGAGGAAUACCGAUGGCGAAGGCAGCCACCUGGGCCAAUACUGACGCUCAUGCACGAAAGCGUGGGGAGCAAACAGGAUUAGAUACCCCGGUAGUCCCUGUCUCUUAUAC